Molecule: non-coding RNA, 69 nt
Organism: Triticum aestivum (bread wheat)
Lineage: Eukaryota; Viridiplantae; Streptophyta; Magnoliopsida; Poales; Poaceae
Source: Rfam
UCCAUUGCUCAGUUGGUAAAGCACAAAGCUCUUAACCUUGUGGAUGUGGGUUCAAGCCCUGUGAUGGAA